This 421-nucleotide long non-coding RNA is filed under the name Androctonus crassicauda. The record is from RNAcentral. Lineage: Eukaryota; Metazoa; Arthropoda; Arachnida; Scorpiones; Buthidae.
GAAAUAUUCUCCUGUAAUUUGAUACUAGUUCACAAUGGAUUAAUGUUGAAUUGCAAUUGUACUAUUGUAUUAAAAAACUGUUCCUCCAGAAAUAGAUCAGAUAUCAUGAGUCUAUCUAGAAAUUAUAUAGGUGAUGACAGUAUAUUCAUAUGCUUUUAUUUUCCAUUUACACCAAUUUGCAAUUUUUUGUUCAUAGAAUACAGAGCAGGUAUACUGCAUCACAAUUGGCCUAAUACCUAUAAGAUCUUUAUGUAACUUGAUGAAACGAAAAAGCUGUGGACAUGGUGUUGAUACCUAUAAAUCAAUUAAAAAAUCUGGCAGUUUUUUGUUCUUCAUUAACCUGACAAUUCUAGCUGUCAGUUUAUAAAUAAGAUCCUCAUACAUCAUAACUGAUUCAGUUUUAUUAAUAUAAUUAUAUAAC